This 1265-nucleotide unclassified non-coding RNA is filed under the name uncultured fungus. RNAcentral's name for it is "sequence contains 18S rRNA gene, ITS1, 5.8S rRNA gene, ITS2, 28S rRNA gene". The stretch from base 387 to 1265 matches the Rfam family "Eukaryotic large subunit ribosomal RNA", at positions 1 to 961 of the family's 3401-position model. Lineage: Eukaryota; Fungi. The record is from RNAcentral.
GGAAGGAUCAUUAAUAAAACAAUGAACUUAUAACAAACUGAACUACUAUAGCAGCUCUAAUCGGUUGCUAUACAAUUGAACUUAUACAAAACAAACCACAUAAGUAAAUUUAUUGGUUGAUAUAAAACUAAAUUUUCAACGAUGGAUGUCUAGGCUCCCAUAACGAUGAAGAACGCAGCGAGAAUGCGAUAUGCAGUGUGAAUUGCAGAACUACGAAUCAUCGGAUUUUUGAACGCAACUGGCGCUGAUAAAAUCAGCAUACUUGUUUCAGUGUGCCUCAACAACUAAACAACUUAAUGUGAGAGAAUAUUCUCUCAUGAAAUAAAUGCUCUAAGCAGCAAUCACAAUUCUUUGUGAGCUACUCUAGGGGACUACAAGUCUUAUUCGCACCUGAAAUCAAGUAAGAUGACCCGCUGGACUUAAGCAUAUUACUAAGCGGAGGAAAAGAAAUUAACUAAGAUUGCCUUAGUAAGGGCGACUGAACCGGCAAAAGCUCAAAAUUGGAAUCGGCUGUUCAAAGAACUACCGAAUUGUAAUCAGGCUCGCCUAAAUACGAACGUUGACUCAAGUACCUUGAAAGGUACGCCAGAGAGGGUGAAAGCCCCGUACAGUUUUCGUUCGAGUAAGGGGAGUCCCAAAAGAGUCGGGUUGCUUGGAACUGCAGCCCUAAGUGGGAGAUAUGAUUCUUCCAAAGCUAAAUAAGGAUGGGAGACCGAUAGCAAACAAGUACUGUGAAGGAAAGAUGAAAAGGACUUUGAAAAGAGGGUGAAAAGAUCUGAAAUCGUUGAGAAGUAAGCGGUAGAAACUGAUGAUGCUGCUGAUGGGGCAACGCGGCGAAACACCGCGAAGUUCUUACCAGAGGCAUGGGCAAGAUGAAGUUGGACGGACUAAAAAAGGGUCAAACCGAAUUGAGUCUGAACAGCUUGAGGGACAAAUGUGAUCUUGCCAAAAUGGUUUUUACCGUCCCGUCUUGAAACACGGACCAAGGAGUCUAACUUAUAUGCGAGUGUGCGAGUGGAAAAACUCAUACGCGGAAUGAAAGUAAAAGGUGCGCAGCGUGAGCUUCAGCAUCGACCGACCUAGUAAGAAAGGUUUGAGUGAGAGCAUAUAGGUUAGGACCCGAAAGAUGGUGAACUAUGCCUGAGUAGGGUGAAGUCAGGAGAAAUCCUGAUGGAGGCUCGUAGCGAUGCUAACGUGCAAAUUGCUCGUCAAACUUGGGUAUAGGGGCGAAAGACUAAUCGAACCAUCUAGUAGCUGGUUCCCUC